This 503-nucleotide ribosomal RNA is filed under the name uncultured bacterium. Its description in RNAcentral is "bacterial SSU rRNA". It matches the Rfam family "Bacterial small subunit ribosomal RNA", at positions 24 to 518 of the family's 1533-position model. The record is from RNAcentral.
UCAGGAUGAACGCUAGCUACAGGCUUAACACAUGCAAGUCGAGGGGCAGCAUUAGAUUAGCUUGCUAAUUAGAUGGCGACCGGCGCACGGGUGAGUAACGCGUAUCCAACCUUCCCCCUGCUCAGGGAUAGCCCGGUGAAAACCGGAUUAAGACCUGAUAGUUUCACUAGAUGGCAUCUGACGGUGAAUAAAGGUUUCGGCAAGGGAUGGGGAUGCGUCUGAUUAGCUUGUUGGCGGGGUAACGGCCCACCAAGGCGACGAUCAGUAGGGGUUCUGAGAGGAAGGUCCCCCACAUUGGGACUGAGACACGGUCCAAACUCCUACGGGAGGCAGCAGUGAGGAAUAUUGGUCAAUGGGCGGAAGCCUGAACCAGCCAAGUAGCGUGCCAGGAUGACGGCCCUAUGGGUUGUAAACUGCUUUUGUAUGGGAAUAAAGUCAGGGACGCGUCCCUGUUUGCAUGUACCAUAAGAAUAAGGACCGGCUAAUUCCGUGCCAGCAGCGGC